GACGAACGCUAGCGGUGUGCUUAACACAUGCAAGUCGAACGGUAAGGCCCUUUCGGGGGUACACGAGUGGCGAACGGGUGAGUAACACGUGAGUAACCUGCCCUCAUCUCUGGGAUAACAGUCGGAAACGGUUGCUAAUACUGGAUAUGAGCUUGCAAGGCAUCUUGUGGGUUGGAAAGAUUUUUUUGGUUGGGGAUGGACUCGCGGCCUAUCAGCUUGUUGGUGAGGUAGUGGCUCACCAAGGCUUCGACGGGUAGCCGGCCUGAGAGGGCGACCGGCCACAUUGGGACUGAGAUACGGCCCAAACUCCUACGGGAGGCAGCAGUGGGGAAUAUUGCACAAUGGACGGAAGUCUGAUGCAGCAACGCCGCGUGCGGGAUGACGGCCUUCGGGUUGUAAACCGCUUUCAAUUGUGACGAAGCUUUUUGUGACGGUAGCAGUAGAAGAAGCACCGGCUAACUACGUG
This 466-nucleotide ribosomal RNA is filed under the name uncultured bacterium. Its description in RNAcentral is "partial 16S ribosomal RNA". It matches the Rfam family "Bacterial small subunit ribosomal RNA", at positions 28 to 507 of the family's 1533-position model. The record is from RNAcentral.